Molecule: long non-coding RNA, 207 nt
Filed under: Elaeis guineensis (African oil palm)
Lineage: Eukaryota; Viridiplantae; Streptophyta; Magnoliopsida; Arecales; Arecaceae
Description: long non-coding RNA (EGUI_LNC063023)
Source: RNAcentral
AAUAGCUUGAUGGCUUUCAAAAAUAUGAACAAAAAGACAACUCGGAGCUUGUUUGGAUGAUUAAGCCCCAAAUUUCGUGGGAUUUGCGGGUUGAGCCAAUGCAACUAAAGAAAAUCUAUCCAAACUAGGUUUAUAUUUUGAGAUCUUUUAGGGUGGAUAAUCCAAACCCUAUAUAGAGAAAAACAAGGCGGCAAAGGCUCCUCCAAA